AAGAAGCUUCUAAGCAACGUAAGCUUUUGGGGGCGCUUUACCCAGAUGGCUUAUUUUCGAGGUUUGCAGAAAAGCGCUGUCAUCUUUCUCUUCUGAGGGGGGGAAAAGAUGUGUGUGGCAGGAGGACCAGGCGGGCUAAAAGUUCUGCCUGUUUAAGCCUGGUGGUUUCAGUCUGGUUUGAGUAUGGUUUGUUCCAUAUUGAAAUGGCUGUGACCAACUGAUCUUGGAUCUUCUGCCCCCAGCUCACAGCUGAAUCCCAUUUCAUGAAAGAUCUGGGUUUGGACAGUUUGGACCAAGUGGAGAUCAUCAUGGCUAUGGAAGACGAAUUUGGAUUUGAAAUUCCUGAUGCAGAUGCAGAAAAGUUAAUGUGUCCACAGGAGAUUGUAGAUUACAUUGCAGAUAAGAAGGAUGUUUAUGAAUAAAAACAGUUCUUCAAAGCAAAGAGAUGUCUCUACCACUACGACUGGGCAGAUGUCAGCAGAUAUGAAUAUAAGCGCACAUGCUGUACUGUUGCUGCUUUCAUUAGAAAGUUGUACUGGAAAGUUGUAUUGGACAUUGUAUUUAAAGUUGUCUGAAUAUGUUGACCUUUAAAAACAGGGAGAAAAAAAGGAAUAAAUAUACAAGACCAGUGUUGCGUUGAUGGCCU
This 646-nucleotide long non-coding RNA is filed under the name Struthio camelus australis. Its description in RNAcentral is "lncRNA (ENSSCUG00000001198.1)". The record is from RNAcentral. Lineage: Eukaryota; Metazoa; Chordata; Aves; Struthioniformes; Struthionidae.